This 158-nucleotide ribosomal RNA is filed under the name Escherichia coli. RNAcentral's name for it is "partial 23S ribosomal RNA". It matches the Rfam family "Bacterial large subunit ribosomal RNA", at positions 2785 to 2925 of the family's 2925-position model. Lineage: Bacteria; Pseudomonadati; Pseudomonadota; Gammaproteobacteria; Enterobacterales; Enterobacteriaceae. The record is from RNAcentral.
GCACGAAACUUGCCCCGAGAUGAGUUCUCCCUGACUCCUUGAGAGUCCUGAAGGAACGUUGAAGACGACGACGUUGAUAGGCCGGGUGUGUAAGCGCAGCGAUGCGUUGAGCUAACCGGUACUAAUGAACCGUGAGGCUUAACCUUACAACGCCGAAG